GGCUUUUAUUAACAGCAGCAAGAAUGGCAAUACUGCAACAUUGGCAACACUGAAACUCAGGCUGUUGAUAGCUGUGUGUGCUUCAGUAUGCUCAGGAUUUGUGGGCCUCUCAUCCCAUGGCAGAUGUACUUCCAGCAACCUUCCUAAACUGCCUUAACCAAGAGUCAUUAAGGAGUUGGGCAGCCUUGAAAUUGGAUAUAAUGAUGAUGAUGAAGAUGAUGAUGACUGCAAGCCUCUGCAAACAGUGAAAAUAUCCAAUUGCACUGAAUCAGAUCCAUUCCCAAAAAACAUGCACAAUAUCAAGAUGACUAUAAAAUUCAAAUCGAUGAUGAAAAUGCAUCAAGUUCAAUAAAGCGGUAAUGAAAAUCA
Molecule: long non-coding RNA, 369 nt
Organism: Pantherophis guttatus
Lineage: Eukaryota; Metazoa; Chordata; Lepidosauria; Squamata; Colubridae
Source: RefSeq, a predicted model, not a curated record